CUGGUAACAAGGGAAACUGGAGUCUUGUGUUUAUCUUCAGGCCAGGACAGAUAGAGGCAGCAACAGUAUAUGCUUUCCUAAACUGACCUGCUAAUGACCUGAAUCCUGCCCUGAGGGGUUAGUAUUCCUUGGAGUAAGUGGAUAUUUAGCUCUGAUGCCUGUUCAACCUACCACUCAU
Lepidothrix coronata (blue-crowned manakin) is the source of this 178-nucleotide unclassified non-coding RNA. The record is from Ensembl. NCBI's taxonomy places the organism in Eukaryota, Metazoa, Chordata, Aves, Passeriformes, Pipridae.